Molecule: ribosomal RNA, 368 nt
Filed under: uncultured Chloroflexota bacterium
Lineage: Bacteria; Bacillati; Chloroflexota
Description: bacterial SSU rRNA
Rfam family: Bacterial small subunit ribosomal RNA
Source: RNAcentral
CCCGAAGGGGACGACCAGUAUCCAAUCUGGAGCUAACACAGGUGCUGCAUGGCUGUCGUCAGCUCGUGCCGUGAGGUGUAUGGUUAAGUCCCACAACGAGCGCAACCCUCGUCGCUAGUUAAUUUCCCUAGCGAGACCGCCUCGCAAAACGAGGAGGAAGCGGGGAUGGCGUCAAGUCAGCAUGGCCUUUAUACCCUGGGCGACACACACGCUACAAUGGGUGGUACAGUAGGUAGCGAAGGAGCGAUCCGGAGCAAAUCCUUAAAACCAUCCUCAGUACGGAUUGCAGGCUGAAACCCGCCUGCAUGAAGCCGGAGUUGCUAGUAACCGCAUAUCAGCAUGGUGCGGUGAAUACGUUCUCGGGCCUU